GAUAGAGGGUGCAAACGUUGUUCGGAAUUACUGGGCGUAAAGCGCGUGUAGGCGGCCCUGCAAGUCGGGUGUGAAAUCCCAUGGCUCAACUAUGGAAGUGCAUUCGAAACUGCAGGGCUAGAGUCCUGGAGAGGAAGGUGGAAUGCUUGGUGUAGAGGUGAAAUUCGUAGAUAUCAAGCGGAACACCGGUGGCGAAGGCGGCCUUCUGGACAGUGACUGACGCUGAGACGCGAAAGCGUGGGGAGCAAACAGG
This 253-nucleotide ribosomal RNA is filed under the name uncultured bacterium. Its description in RNAcentral is "partial 16S ribosomal RNA". It matches the Rfam family "Bacterial small subunit ribosomal RNA", at positions 524 to 776 of the family's 1533-position model. The record is from RNAcentral.